GGAAAGAUGAAAAGAACUUUGAAAAGAGAGUUAAACAGUACGUGAGAUUGUUGAAAGGGAAACGAUUGAAGUCAGUCGUGCUGGCGCGAAAUCAACCCUCUCGUCGAGAGGACACAUGGCGUGGCGAGCCUCAAAACCGUCACGAAGCGUGAACUCUUGGCGAAAAGGAGCACUUUCGUGUCCGCUGGUUAACAUCAAUUUCGAACGUCAUAAAAAGGCUGGAGGGAUGUGGCUCCCUCGGGAGUGUUAUAACCUUUAGCGGAAUGUGGUGGUCGGGAUUGAGGAUUGCAACGAAUACCUUUAGGGCUGUUCCACCUGGCUUCUCUUUGGCAUCCUGGUGACGACAGCUUGCGGACGUUGUUAGGAAUCGCCUUUGAACAGGCUAGAGUGUGAGCAAAUUCGUUAAGGAUGUUAACGUAAUGGCUUUAAACGACCGUCUUGAAACACGGACCA
This 453-nucleotide ribosomal RNA is filed under the name Entrophospora infrequens. Its description in RNAcentral is "LSU rRNA". It matches the Rfam family "Eukaryotic large subunit ribosomal RNA", at positions 358 to 668 of the family's 3401-position model. The record is from RNAcentral. Lineage: Eukaryota; Fungi; Glomeromycota; Glomeromycetes; Entrophosporales; Entrophosporaceae.